This 253-nucleotide ribosomal RNA is filed under the name uncultured bacterium. RNAcentral's name for it is "partial 16S ribosomal RNA". It matches the Rfam family "Bacterial small subunit ribosomal RNA", at positions 524 to 776 of the family's 1533-position model. The record is from RNAcentral.
UACAGAGGUCCCGAGCGUUGUUCGGAUUCACUGGGCGUAAAGGGUGCGUAGGUGGCUUGAAAAGUUUGAUGUGAAAGCUCAGGGCUUAACCCUGAAAUGGCAUUGAAUACUGUCGGGCUGGAGGUUUGGAGGGGGGACUGGAAUUCUUGGUGUAGCAGUGAAAUGCGUAGAUAUCAAGAGGAACACCAGUGGCGAAGGCGAGUCCCUGGACAACACCUGACACUGAGGCACGAAAGCUAGGGGAACAAACAGG